RNAcentral lists this ribosomal RNA (429 nucleotides) under Actinomycetes bacterium. RNAcentral describes it as "Actinobacteria bacterium partial 16S ribosomal RNA". It matches the Rfam family "Bacterial small subunit ribosomal RNA", at positions 355 to 776 of the family's 1533-position model. The record is from RNAcentral. Lineage: Bacteria; Bacillati; Actinomycetota; Actinomycetes.
UAGGGAAUCUUCCGCAAUGGGCGAAAGCCUGACGGAGCAACGCCGCGUGAGUGAUGAAGGUCUUCGGAUCGUAAAACUCUGUUAUUAGGGAAGAACAAAUGUGUAAGUAACUAUGCACGUCUUGACGGUACCUAAUCAGAAAGCCACGGCUAACUACGUGCCAGCAGCCGCGGUAAUACGUAGGUGGCAAGCGUUAUCCGGAAUUAUUGGGCGUAAAGCGCGCGUAGGCGGUUUUUUAAGUCUGAUGUGAAAGCCCACGGCUCAACCGUGGAGGGUCAUUGGAAACUGGAAUACUUGAGUGCAGAAGAGUAAAGUGGAAUUCCAUGUGUAGCUGUGAAAUGCGCAGAGCUAUGGAGGAACACCAGUGGCGAAGGCGACUUUCUGGUCUGUAACUGACGCUGAUGUGCGAAAGCGUGGAGAUCAAACAGG